Molecule: unclassified non-coding RNA, 154 nt
Filed under: uncultured Cladosporium
Lineage: Eukaryota; Fungi; Ascomycota; Dothideomycetes; Cladosporiales; Cladosporiaceae
Also listed under: 1 other name
Description: sequence contains ITS1
Source: RNAcentral
CAAGAACGCCCGGGCUUCGGCCUGGUUAUUCAUAACCCUUUGUUGUCCGACUCUGUUGCCUCCGGGGCGACCCUGCCUUCGGGCGGGGGCUCCGGGUGGACACUUCAAACUCUUGCGUAACUUUGCAGUCUGAGUAAACUUAAUUAAUAAAUUA